UCUUUUUUAUAAAUAAGGAGCGUCUGUUGAUCACAAACAUAGGGCAAUGCUAAAAAUUAUUUUAAAGUAUAUUGUUUGUAGCCUGUUCAGUGGUGUUUAACCAAACAACAGAAUUUUCUUUAAAGUGAUCAUUGAUUGUCCAAAUAACAGUCAUAAUAAUGGUAUUACGACUCCUUCUUUGUCCUAAUCAAGGCCCCUAUGAAAUAGACAUGGUUUUGAAUAGGAAACUUGCGGCACUGGGACGGAGAGACCCUGUGCACCUUUACUUUUCUCUAGAUUUUUAUAAUUAUAAUAAAAAGG
RNAcentral lists this ribosomal RNA (300 nucleotides) under Theileria equi. Its description in RNAcentral is "large subunit ribosomal RNA LSU1". It matches the Rfam family "Bacterial large subunit ribosomal RNA", at positions 1777 to 2142 of the family's 2925-position model. The record is from RNAcentral. Lineage: Eukaryota; Apicomplexa; Aconoidasida; Piroplasmida; Theileriidae.